AACCUUAUGGACCUGCGGGCGUAUACCUGCGGAAGGAUCAUUACACAAUAAACAUAUGAAGGCUGCACCGCCAACAGGCGGCAAGGCUGGAGUAUUUUAUUACCCUUGUCUUUUGCGCACUUGUUGUUUCCUGGGCGGGUUCGCCCGCCUCCAGGACCACAUGAUAAACCUUUUUUAUGCAGUUGCAAUCAGCGUCAGUACAACAAAUGUAAAUCAUUUACAACUUUUAACAAUGGAUCU
Molecule: unclassified non-coding RNA, 240 nt
Filed under: soil metagenome
Description: partial contains 5.8S ribosomal RNA, internal transcribed spacer 2, and large subunit ribosomal RNA
Source: RNAcentral